RNAcentral lists this ribosomal RNA (628 nucleotides) under Pristimantis bambu. RNAcentral describes it as "partial large subunit ribosomal RNA". The stretch from base 395 to 609 matches the Rfam family "Bacterial large subunit ribosomal RNA", at positions 1692 to 2034 of the family's 2925-position model. Lineage: Eukaryota; Metazoa; Chordata; Amphibia; Anura; Strabomantidae. The record is from RNAcentral.
UUUACCUCAACUAAUUAACCCCCCUACUUUAGAGCAAUUCAAAUGAGGUACAGCCCAUUUGAUACAGGAUACAACCUUCACUUACGGGUAAAACCCACCCCACACCUUAAAGUAGGCCUAAAAGCAGCCAUCUUUUAAAAAGCGUCAAAGCUUAGUCCUGACCGUAUUAAUUCAAAAACCUACAUUAACCCCUUCACCCAUACUGAGAACUUCUAUAACCCUAUAGAACCUUUUAUGCUAAAACUAGUAACAAGAGCAAACCCCUCUCUCGUAAUGCAAGCAUAAGCCAGCAAGAACCCAUCACUGGUAAUUAACAACAUAAAUAAGAGUAGCAACCUCACUAGAAAACCCUACUCCCACAACUGUUAACCUAACACCAGAGCAUUUCAAGAAAGAUUAAAAGAAAAAGAAGGAACUCGGCAAAUCCAAGUCCCGCCUGUUUACCAAAAACAUCGCCUCUUGCCUCCCAUAAGAGGUCCAACCUGCCCAGUGACCCUGUUCAACGGCCGCGGUAUCCUAACCGUGCGAAGGUAGCGUAAUCACUUGUUUUCUAAAUAAAGACCUGUAUGAAGGGUAUAACGAGGACUAAACUGUCUCCUUUUUCUAAUCAGUAAACCUAAUCUCCCCG